GCCGGUGUGGCUCAGUGGAUAGAGCAUCGGUCUGCAGACCAAAGGUUCCUGGGUUUGAUUCCCAUCAAGGGCA
RNAcentral lists this transfer RNA (73 nucleotides) under Myotis lucifugus (little brown bat). It matches the Rfam family "tRNA". From Rfam's summary of the family: Transfer RNA (tRNA) molecules are approximately 80 nucleotides in length. Their secondary structure includes four short double-helical elements and three loops (D, anti-codon, and T loops). Further hydrogen bonds mediate the characteristic L-shaped molecular structure. tRNAs have two regions of fundamental functional importance: the anti-codon, which is responsible for specific mRNA codon recognition, and the 3' end, to which the tRNAs corresponding amino acid is attached (by aminoacyl-tRNA synthetases). tRNAs cope with the degeneracy of the genetic code in two manners: having more than one tRNA (with a specific anti-codon) for a particular amino acid; and 'wobble' base-pairing, i.e. permitting non-standard base-pairing at the 3rd anti-codon position. Lineage: Eukaryota; Metazoa; Chordata; Mammalia; Chiroptera; Vespertilionidae. The record is from Rfam by way of RNAcentral.